UGUAAACUGAAAAUGUCUGUCUCAUAAAUGGGAGUAAUUUAAUCUGACUGCAUCUCCAUCAGUUCCGUGCUGCUCUCUACUAUGUUUGUGUCCUGGUGUGGGAGUUAUCUAGGGACAGAUGGAGGCAUCGGGCCAAAGCAGGCAGGAAACUGGAGGCACAGGAAGGAUCCACUCCUGGAUAACAACUGCUAUUUUAGAUCAGCUUAUCCAGGUCGGGUCAAGAUGGCAGUAGCCUGGCAGGGCAUUCCAGGUGUCUCUCUCCCCAGCAAAGCUUUCCAGUUCCUUCUGAGGGAACCAAAGGUGUUCCGAGGCCUGCUGAGAUGUGUAUCUCUCUAGUUAGUUCUUUGUCUCAUCCAGUUUGAUGGACUUGGGAAAACCUCCCAACAACGCCACCCAGAAAAGAUCCUAAUCAGAUGCCCGAGCCACCUCAGCUGGUUCCUUUCAGCAUGAAGCAGCAGCAACUCUACUGUGAGCUCUGUCCAGAUGUUGCACUCUAUCUGCAAAGCUGAGCCCAACUACCCUAUGGAGCAAACUCAUUUCAGCCACUUGUAUCCGUGAUCUCAUUAUUUCGGUCACUACUCCAAACUUAGGACAAUAUGCGAGGGAUGGGACAGACAGGUAAACAAUAUAUCCAGUCCAACUCCAACUCCACUAAUGAUCCUUGUCCUUCUCACCAUCCUCUUUCCUAAUACUUUGAAAAAGAUCCCAAGAUACCUUAAUCUGUGGCAACAACUCACCCCCAGCCCAAAGAGUGCAAUCCACCAGUUUCCAGCAGAGAGCCAUAGCCUUGGACUUUGAGGUGUUACGGCCCCAGAGCAUUGGUCCUGUGUUCUUUCUUAUGCAGGUCUCUGGCUGGGCAGAGUUUGAAAUCAUCAUCUAAUUAACUGGGUAACAAAAAAAAAGAAAAAAAGAUGGGAAAUGACUGAGUUCAACAGACACCAGAAACAUGUUUGUGCCAAAAAUACGAAAACAGCUCAUCAUUUGGUUGUACAAGACCGAAUUACUCGAACGAAUGGCCCUGAUACCCCAUACUCCGUCAUGACCCACCAGUGUUCCCUGGCAGACGCAGGCCUUCUCCAAGUCCACAAAACACAUGUGUACUGGAUGGCCAAACUUCCAUGACCCUCUUUGUGGCUCUGUAAGGGCAGGGGUAGUCCACUGUUCCACAGCCUGGACUGAAGCCACACUGCCCCUUCUGAAUCCCAUGUUCAACAGUUGUUCGGAGCUUCCCUCGAGGUGACCUGGAAUAAACUUUCGCUGGCAUCUAAGACUGGCUCUAAGCUUGUGGAAUGUGAUUGGAAUGUGCUCUUGCUUAUUAACAAGUUUUAGCAUGUUAAUGUGAUAAAACUAAAAUAGUCUAAACAUAAACACCAACAUGUUAACAGUGUAAUUGAGAGCAUGUUACAGUGUUGUUAUUAUUAGCAUGUAGCACAUGCACUAGCGUAAAAACAAAGCCCAACCUUUCAGACUCAUGAUUGUGGCUGCAUGCGAUGUAUAAUGCAACUUCAUCUUUCAAAAGGAAAGAAUAUGAUGGCAUAACUAUGAAAAUAUGGAAAAAAAUAAACAAAUUGC
This is a long non-coding RNA of Amphiprion ocellaris (clown anemonefish), 1572 nucleotides long. The record is from Ensembl. NCBI's taxonomy places the organism in Eukaryota, Metazoa, Chordata, Actinopteri, Pomacentridae.